This 113-nucleotide ribosomal RNA is filed under the name Saimiri boliviensis boliviensis (Bolivian squirrel monkey). Lineage: Eukaryota; Metazoa; Chordata; Mammalia; Primates; Cebidae. The record is from RNAcentral.
GCUGAGGUCAAGCUGCCCUGAAAACGCCCCAUGUCCUCUGGCCUUGGAAGCUGAGCAGGGUUGGGCCUGAUUGGUACUUGGAUGGGAGAAAAGAACCCAGAUGUCUUUCAUUU